Molecule: small RNA, 424 nt
Filed under: Histoplasma capsulatum var. duboisii H88
Lineage: Eukaryota; Fungi; Ascomycota; Eurotiomycetes; Onygenales; Ajellomycetaceae
Description: Histoplasma capsulatum H88 hypothetical RNA
Source: RNAcentral
UCCAAUAGCUCAGCUGGACGAGGGGUUGGACUGCUGAACAAAAGAUAAUUUUGCCCAUUGCUAGCCGCGUCUGCGAUACCAUUUGGUGGGUAAAACGUGCUAGACUAGAAGACAAAAGAAAGCGAGUUUCAAAAGUACCAAGGUGACAAGUGCGUGGGGAAACCAGUGUAAGACCCCUUCUUUCGUGAUCCCGUUAACAGAAAAAAGAAAAAGAAAAAAGAAAGAAAAAACGCCCAAAACCCCAGCGCCGGACAGAAAUAUAUACAAAAAUAUACGCUGACAGGGUAUCCCGCGAAACUCCAAAAUGAUCUAGGGUAUUAUGUUGUUGCUGCUCUCCCAGUCUCCCAGCAAAGCAGGCAACCUGCGCCGGGAAUCAUACUCUCGCUUCAUUCAACAACAGACCGGCUGUGACUCCAAGACUCCA